RNAcentral lists this ribosomal RNA (2915 nucleotides) under Triticum aestivum (bread wheat). RNAcentral's name for it is "partial small subunit ribosomal RNA". The record is from RNAcentral. Lineage: Eukaryota; Viridiplantae; Streptophyta; Magnoliopsida; Poales; Poaceae.
CGCGAACCAAAACGAGUAAACAAAGCAAAGGCAAAGGGCGGGCGGCCGGGCGCCACCAGCACCCACGCCACACAUAGAUCUCUCUCUGUCUCCGUCUCUUGCUUUGCCUCUAGUCGUCGCCCAGUCGCUGCCGCACUGCUCAGGCUCAAGCUCAAGCUCGAGCCCCGGCUCCUUCGCCAACCCUCGUGCCGCGAUCCCCCGCAGCAGAUUUUCUGUGUGCCGGUUGCUAGCUGAUAAGAUCUGACUCACGGCGCCGGCAAGGUUGUGGCGCCACGGGGUUGCAGAGGCAGGGGCGGCACAUGGAGCGGUCCGGCUCCAAGCGGGCGCUAGACCCUGGCGGCAGUGGCGGCGGCGGCGGCGGCGACGACGACGAACGUGAUCCUAAACGGCCGCACGUCCCGGCCCUCGCCAGUGUCAUUGUAGAAGCUCUCAAGUUGGACAGUUUGCAGAAGCUUUGUUCAUCCCUGGAGCCGAUUCUCCGAAGAGUUGUCAGCGAAGAAGUAGAGCGUGCUCUAGCCAAACUGGGACCUGCAGCAGCACCUGCUAGAAUUGAAGGAAGGACCUCUCCCAAAAGAAUUGAAGGCCCUAAUGGUAGUAAUCUCCAGCUUCAAUUUCGGAGUAGGUUAGCACUCCCACUCUUUACCGGAGGAAAAGUGGAAGGCGAGCAGGGAGCAUCAAUACAUGUUGUGCUGUUGGAUGCAAACACUGGACAUGUUGUUACUUCAGGACCCGAGUCAUUUGCAAAACUGGAUGUGCUUGUGCUCGAGGGUGAUUUUAAUAAAGAGAAGGACGAGGAUUGGACUGAAGAGGAAUUUGAGAGCCACAUUGUGAAAGAACGUGAAGGGAAGAGGCCUCUUUUAAACGGUGAUAUCCAUGUGACACUUAAAGAAGGCGUAGGGACCAUAGGGGAGCUUAUCUUCACUGACAAUUCCAGUUGGAUAAGGAGCAGAAAAUUCAGACUUGGGAUGAGGGUCUCUUCAGGAUUUUGUGAAGGAAUUCGUAUCAAAGAGGCGAAAACAGAGGCUUUUACUGUGAAAGAUCACAGAGGAGAAUUGUACAAGAAACAUUACCCUCCUGCGCUUAAGGAUGAUGUUUGGCGAUUGGAAAAGAUUGGAAAGGACGGUGCAUUCCACGGGAAACUAAACUCAAACGGAAUAUAUACAGUUGAACAUUUUCUUCAACUUCUUGUUAAAGAUCAGCAGAAGUUAAGAAGUAUCCUUGGCACUGGCAUGUCAAAUAAGAUGUGGGAAAGUCUUGUUGAACAUGCGAAAACUUGCGUGCUGAGUGGCAAGCAUUAUAUAUAUUACUCAAAGGAUACAGCAAGUGUUGGUGCAAUAUUCAAUAACAUCUAUGAGUUCACUGGUUUGAUUGCUGAUGAUCAGUUUAUUUCAACGGAAAAUCUUACUGAAAACCAGAGGGUGUUUGCAGAUACAUUGGUGAAGCAAGCAUACGAUGAUUGGAUCAACGUUGUAGAAUAUGAUGGCAAGGGAUUGUUGAAAUUUAAGCAGAAAAAGAGAUCUGUCACAACAAGAAGUGAUGCUGCAAAUGUCUCUACAAGCUACACUUCUUAUGAUUCAGCGCACUCUCAGAAACAAUUGGCACGAGGACAUCCCAAUAUUGAGCGAUCUCUCAUGAGCAGUACCAGUAAGGCAGAAGAGACAAGAGUUGCAUCCAACGGGAACCAGGUAGCGAUAUAUGCAACCAAUCCUCAGGACAUCUCACCAAGUAUUACCAUGCAAUAUGGCAUGAGUUCAUUGAUUCCUGAAGGCCAGUUCAAUGGCUCUUCCAUCCAAACUCAAGCACCAAGAAGCUCCAACAUGCUAGCAUUUGGCCCUCCACCACAGCAGCAGCAGAACUUCGAAUUCUCAACACUUGGUCUGUCCAUGCAAUCCCCAGCUCUUAAUCCUUUUGAUGACUGGCCUGGACGGUCGCAGGAGAACCACGGUGGUGUUGAUGACUUCCUGAUGGAGGAGAUCAGAGUGAGAAGCCAUGACAUACUGGAGAAUGAAGAAGAGAUGCAACAUAUGCUGCGCAUUCUUAGCGGCGGGGCAGCAGCAAACAUGAAUAAUGUAGAUGGCUUUCCCUACAUCCCUUCUCCUGUACCGACCUUCAACUUUGAGGAUGAUCGUGCUCCCUCAUCUGGCAAGGCUGUUGUUGGGUGGCUUAAGAUUAAGGCUGCCAUGCGGUGGGGCAUCUUCGUCAGGAAGAAAGCUGCCGAGAGAAGAGCUCAGCUUGUUGAGCUGGAUGACUAGGGCAUCUUCGUCAGGAAGAAAGCUUCGUUGACGCUUAUGUGUAACAGCGAGCAGGAUCUCAAACUCCCAAAAGUAUGAAUGGACUCGCGUUGGUUGUAUAGGUAGCUGUUUGAUGGUCAUUAUCUAAGUUUUAUUAGUGUUCAGAAAAAAGAAAACUGUUACAACUGUGCAAACUUAUUUGUUGAAGAUUGACAAUUGAAACAGACUUUGUUUGUGGGAACUAGCAGGCGCUCUGUUUUUGCAUCAAAUGGGCAAAUGACAAACUAUAUCCGAACAAACACGGUCAGGACGUUCGUGGGCGAUUUUUAUGGACGGCUUUGGAGAUGUCCUUAGUUGACAUUAGUCCAUGGCAUCCUCUAGUGCUUUGUUGCCAUCUUGAAUAAAUUUGGAGCUACUACAGAUGGGGCCUUCACCAUUUAUCCAUCUAUCAGUUCAGAAGAGGCCUUGCUGCCAUCUUGAAUCUGAAUUUUGGUGCAGGCAGAGAGGACAUGUAGAUCAAUUUUGUCUCGUUAUUUUUUCUCUUCACGGUCUGUCCUGAUUGGUUAGAAGGGAUAGAGGAAUUGGUGGAAUUGUUCGUUGUAUUGCUUGAGCCCAGUGGGCAUAUAUAUAGGAGUACAAUGAUCUACUUGAAGUACAAGACAAGUCAGAACAAAUCCUAGUCUA